UGGGGAAUUUUGCGCAAUGGGGGAAACCCUGACGCAGCAACGCCGCGUGGAGGAUGAAGUAUCUUGGUACGUAAACUCCUUUCGAUGGGGAAGAUAAUGACGGUACCCAUAGAAGAAGCCCCGGCUAACUUCGUGCCAGCAGCCGCGGUAAUACGAGGGGGGCAAGCGUUGUUCGGAAUUAUUGGGCGUAAAGGGUGCGUAGGCGGUUUGAUAAGUCUGAUGUGAAAUCUCUGGGCUCAACCCAGAGUCUGCAUUAGAAACUGUCGGGCUUGAGUAUGGGAGAGGUGAGUGGAAUUUCCGGUGUAGCGGUGAAAUGCGUAGAUAUCGGAAGGAACACCUGUGGCGAAAGCGGCUCACUGGACCAUAACUGACGCUGAGGCACGAAAGCUAGGGGAGCAAACAGG
Molecule: ribosomal RNA, 404 nt
Filed under: uncultured bacterium
Lineage: Bacteria
Description: bacterial SSU rRNA
Rfam family: Bacterial small subunit ribosomal RNA
Source: RNAcentral